GAUGAACGCUGGCGGCGUGCCUAAUACAUGCAAGUCGAGCGAACAGAUAAGGAGCUUGCUCCUUUGACGUUAGCGGCGGACGGGUGAGUAACACGUGGGUAACCUACCUAUAAGACUGGAAUAACUCCGGGAAACCGGGGCUAAUGCCGGAUAACAUUUAGAACCGCAUGGUUCUAAAGUGAAAGAUGGUUUUGCUAUCACUUAUAGAUGGACCCGCGCCGUAUUAGCUAGUUGGUAAGGUAACGGCUUACCAAGGCAACGAUACGUAGCCGACCUGAGAGGGUGAUCGGCCACAUUGGAACUGAGACACGGUCCAGACUCCUACGGGAGGCAGCAGUAGGGAAUCUUCCGCAAUGGGCGAAAGCCUGACGGAGCAACGCCGCGUGAGUGAUGAAGGUCUUCGGAUCGUAAAACUCUGUUAUUAGGGAAGAACAAAUGUGUAAGUAACUGUGCACGUCUUGACGGUACCUAAUCAGAAAGCCACGGCUAACUACGUG
This 497-nucleotide ribosomal RNA is filed under the name uncultured bacterium. Its description in RNAcentral is "partial 16S ribosomal RNA". It matches the Rfam family "Bacterial small subunit ribosomal RNA", at positions 28 to 507 of the family's 1533-position model. The record is from RNAcentral.